UACAGGGGGUGCAAACGUUGCUCGGAAUCAUUGGGCGUAAAGCGCACGUAGGCGGUUCGUUAUGUCGGAUGUGAAAGCCCGUGGCUUAACCGAGGAAGUGCAUCCGAAACUGGCGAGCUAGAGUACUAAAGAGGAUCGCGGAAUUCCCGGUGUAGAGGUGAAAUUCGUAGAUAUCGGGAGGAACACCGGUGGCGAAGGCGGCGAUCUGGGUAGAUACUGACGCUGAGGUGCGAAAGCGUGGGGAGCAAACAGG
This 253-nucleotide ribosomal RNA is filed under the name uncultured bacterium. Its description in RNAcentral is "partial 16S ribosomal RNA". It matches the Rfam family "Bacterial small subunit ribosomal RNA", at positions 524 to 776 of the family's 1533-position model. The record is from RNAcentral.